RNAcentral lists this non-coding RNA (104 nucleotides) under Kribbella flavida. RNAcentral's name for it is "Glycine sequence". It matches the Rfam family "Glycine riboswitch aptamer". From Rfam's summary of the family: This family represents the bacterial glycine riboswitch. RNAcentral also lists the same sequence under 1 other name. The record is from RNAcentral. Lineage: Bacteria; Bacillati; Actinomycetota; Actinomycetes; Propionibacteriales; Kribbellaceae.
UGAACCCGUGCGGGAGAGACCCGGGCCGGCAGGUGGUACGGACCCGGGCGCCGUAGGAGCAACUCUCCCCAGAAUCUCUCAGGCCCCCUCACCGCACGGGCGAG